CAGAUGGGGGGCACACACUAGCCACCUCGUGUGCAAGGAUAGGGGAGUCCAGCGACGGCGAGCGUUCUGUGUGGGGGAGGCGCUGGUGUGCGUGCGAAGGUUAGGGGAUAAAAAGAUCAGACGACUGUGGGCUGUUAAAUCAAACGGUAGGGGGUGGACCGGCCGAAAGUUUCGGCCGGCGCACCGGCGCCUAGCACCCGCCUUAGAUCUUUAUGAUAUUAUAUAGAAAAUCACUGAAUUGGUUUUGGCCAUCUCCACACGAUCUCAUCACAAAAGAUGAAGAGUUUCCUUCUUUCUCUCUCCCAGUACAUCUCGCACAAUGGCACAACCCUAAUAGCACGCAAACACCGUGCCACGCUGAUGCCACCUAUGCUUUCCGUUGGCCGUGAACUGAUUAAUACAUAAGCUAGCUUUGGAGGAGGCUGCUAGAUUGAUUCCAAUGGAGGUUAGCUACAACUAUCUCUACGGAUGUUACCUAGCUACAACAGGCCGAUGUAUUCUAGCUGGUUGGAUAACAGACGCGGCGUUGUUUCAUCAAAUCAUCGAUCAGUGGAGCAAAUCUACUGCUGGCCGGUCGACGUAUUCUCGACGGAUGAAGAACGCACAGGUGCGGUUUCCUCGAUCUGGCUGAUGUAUUCUCGCCGGAUGGAGAAUACGUUUGUGAUAAUUAGACGUUUUAUCAAGGCAUCAAUUUCUUUUUUGUAGGAGACCAGGGAAGGCAAGGCGACUAUGUUUUUGAUAAGGACGCGGAUGGCCAUCCGGUCCCAGUGCUUCUCUGAUGCGGUGCUAGAGUCUCCCCAUGCACUGGUCGGAAGCUGCGCCGUCGCCAUAGCAAUCAAUGUCAUCUGUCCAGCAGGAUCUUCGUAGGUGAACUAGGUUGGAGUCAAAUCUAUGGCUGACGGCAGAAUGGUUCAUCGGCUCAUCCACACAGACCUGGGGACGGUCACAUCUAUGGCACCACGCUGGAGAUCCACAUCACGAUGCCAUUGCCCACGCAUGCUGAACUAAUCGGGGAUGGGGCCUGAGAGGAGCAAUGGGCCCUCGCAGGAGCACAACACAACAAGGCCAUUGGGUACAAUCAGGAUUCCGGCGCCUUUGAUCAGAAGAUUAACAUAAUUUUCUUUGUCUUGCUAAGUGCAUCAGGAUCGUAUCAAGAUUCAUUCGAAAUCAGUUACUAGCAAACAGAGAAGCACUACUCUUCUAGGAAAUUAUCUACGCGGGUUCUUUGCCCCUAUGGUCUCACAAGAUUUUUGGUAAAUUUACAGCUAGCCAUGAAAGCAAUUGGUUCCUUGCAUCCUCCAUUUGACAGGUAGAACAUCUUUUGACUGCUCACCCGUACUUCUGUAUAGUAUAGCAUACAAUCUUUAGAUUUGUAUGUCUUUAAUUAAUAGUUCAGUUUUAUUGGUAUAUAGGAUAAUAAAUCGCUGUUAUGAUAUAGUAUAUGUUGCUUCUUACAUGCAAAUCUAAUUUUUUUGCUCCGCUAGAUAGUAAUUGGUCAAUGUAUUGUUCAGUUUGCGUUUUUAUGAAUUUGAUAAAAUUCAGUUGUAAGUUCUAAUUGGUAAGAUGCUAAAGUUUUCCUGCACUUCAUCCCUUUAAACGUAUAUAACAAUUAUAAGGAGGCCUAUAGCCUAUUAUCAGCCACGCGAGUGUCCCUUCCCUGACGUCUAUAUGCAGAUCUACGCUUCAUUGUACAUCCUGUUCUCUUCAACUCAACCCUCCACUGGUGUUUAUCGGGAGGCUGCAAACAUAUGUGAAAAUCGUUUGCUGGAGUAGUUUUUCUCAUAAGGCGCAGGCCGAUCCUGUAGCGUCGGGUCAUUAUGAUGCAUGCAACGAUGUGGUGUCCAAAGGUCCAGCUGGGCGCAAGUGCCUCUGUGUGUGUGCCAACAUCCUACUUUCGUCUCAUAAAAUUAGUUUAUUUGUUGUGUCACAACAAGAUUUUUUUUUGCUAGAUACAAACCACUGGUAGAACAGAGAAUGCUACUGCUACAAAGCAUGGUAAGGAAGGUGGCCGAGUAGAGGAAUCGGUGGAUGGUUGUGGCCUCGGCGUGUUUAAAACCAUUCAUUUCAUGGAUUUCCCAGUUUUACGCUGAAAAUUCAAGUCUAAUUUAGCUACGUACUGGAGGGAUUUCGGUACACGUAUCCUAAUUUGUAAGUUAUCUUUUGUAGGAAAUGCUCCUACAAUAUAAUAAUAUCAUUUUCAACUAGCACAUUCUCAUAUGAAUUUACACAAAUUGGAAGCUUUAUUACCCUCAGCGUAUGCAUCGUGGAUGCAUACAAACCUAAAUUAUUGUCAUUUUUCUUCUGUCACCCAGUAUAUAUGCGUGCUUUAGGCUUACACCUAUAUUUUUAGGCUAGCACAAAGUAAAUGCUUGGCUAUUAAAAUUAUUUUUUUGGGAUGUUCUACAAUAGAUACAAAUAAACUAAAGUAGUACGAUAUGUCUAUAGAUCCUCUCUUGCAUUCUAUAUAUAGUUCAAUAUGACCCGUGAGAGAGAGAGAGAGAGAGAGAGAGAGAGAGAGAGAGAGAGAGA
Molecule: ribosomal RNA, 2529 nt
Filed under: Triticum aestivum (bread wheat)
Lineage: Eukaryota; Viridiplantae; Streptophyta; Magnoliopsida; Poales; Poaceae
Description: partial small subunit ribosomal RNA
Source: RNAcentral